Molecule: microRNA, 21 nt
Filed under: Petromyzon marinus (sea lamprey)
Lineage: Eukaryota; Metazoa; Chordata; Hyperoartia; Petromyzontiformes; Petromyzontidae
Description: pma-miR-143-5p
Gene: pma-miR-143-5p
Source: miRBase by way of RNAcentral
GGUGCAGUGCUUUACCUCUGG